CAGACUCCUACGGGAGGCAGCAGUGAGGAAUAUUGGUCAAUGGGCGAGAGCCUGAACCAGCCAAGUAGCGUGCAGGAUGACGGCCCUAUGGGUUGUAAACUGCUUUUAUAAGGGAAUAAAAGUGAGUCUCGUGAGGCUUUUUGCAUGUACCUUAUGAAUAAGGACCGGCUAAUUCCGUGC
RNAcentral lists this ribosomal RNA (180 nucleotides) under uncultured bacterium. Its description in RNAcentral is "partial 16S ribosomal RNA". It matches the Rfam family "Bacterial small subunit ribosomal RNA", at positions 332 to 508 of the family's 1533-position model. The record is from RNAcentral.